GGAGGAAGGCGGGGACGACGUCAAGUCAUCAUGGCCCUUACGACCAGGGCUACACACGUGCUACAAUGGUAGGUACAGAGGGCAGCUACACAGCGAUGUGAUGCGAAUCUUUCAAAGCCUAUCGUAGUCCAGAUUGAAGUCUGCAACUCGACUCCAUGAAGUAGGAAUCGCUAGUAAUCGCGGAUCAGAAUGCCGCGGUGAAUACGUUCCCGGGCCUUGUACACACCGCCCGU
RNAcentral lists this ribosomal RNA (233 nucleotides) under Psychrobacter sp. RNAcentral's name for it is "partial 16S ribosomal RNA". It matches the Rfam family "Bacterial small subunit ribosomal RNA", at positions 1165 to 1397 of the family's 1533-position model. Lineage: Bacteria; Pseudomonadati; Pseudomonadota; Gammaproteobacteria; Moraxellales; Moraxellaceae. The record is from RNAcentral.